RNAcentral lists this long non-coding RNA (309 nucleotides) under Physcomitrium patens. Its description in RNAcentral is "long non-coding RNA (PPAT_LNC014545)". Lineage: Eukaryota; Viridiplantae; Streptophyta; Bryopsida; Funariales; Funariaceae. The record is from RNAcentral.
AUUCAAUCUUUCUUCUUCUCAAAUAAUACCAAUCACAUUUCUAUUCCAUAAUUUACUUCACAAUAUUCAGAAACUCUCAAUCCUCUUAUUCAAAGAAAAUAACAAACAAAAGAAAAGAAGUAGCACCAAGCUUACCCCGGCUCACAACUAUCAUAGCGAUGGCACCUUAAUUAACUUCUACAACUCCUAUAUACUUUCUCCUGAUUCUCAAGAUUCUAAUUGUAAUUUUAUAAUUAACUACUUUUAAUAACUAAAUCACUCAUCCAUCCUCCUGAAUUUUCUAUUAUAUAGACUAUUAAUAUUUUUUAC